RNAcentral lists this ribosomal RNA (587 nucleotides) under uncultured bacterium. RNAcentral's name for it is "partial 16S ribosomal RNA". It matches the Rfam family "Bacterial small subunit ribosomal RNA", at positions 355 to 1375 of the family's 1533-position model. The record is from RNAcentral.
UGGGGAAUUUUGGACAAUGGGCGAAAGCCUGAUCCAGCAAUGCCGCGUGUGUGAAGAAGGCCUUCGGGUUGUAAAGCACUUUUGUCCGGAAAGAAAUCCUUGGCUCUAAUACAGUCGGGGGGAUGACGGUACCGGAAGAAUAAGCACCGGCUAACUACGUGCCAGCAGCCGCGGUAAUACGUAGGGUGCAAGCGUUAAUCGGAAUUACUGGGCGUAAAGCGUGCGCAGGCGGUUUGCUAAGACCGAUGUGAAAUCCCCGGGCUCAACCUGGGAACUGCAUUGGUGACUGGCAGGCUAGAGUAUGGCAGAGGGGGGUAGAAUUCCACGUGUAGCAGUGAAAUGCGUAGAGAUGUGGAGGAAUACCGAUGGCGAAGGCAGCCCCCUGGGCCAAUACUGACGCUCAUGCACGAAAGCGCGGGGAGCAAAACAGGAUUAGAUACCCUGGUAGUCCACGCCCUAAACGAUGUCAACUAGUUGUUGGGGAUUCAUUUCCUUAGUAACGUAGCUAACGCGUGAAGUUGACCGCCUGGGGAGUACGGUCGCAAGAUUAAAACUCAAAUGAAUUGACGGGGUCAUAGCUGUUUCCU